CUAUUGAAAUUAAUUGUUGGUGAUAAUGCAAGAAAGUAUUGACAUGGCUGUACAGGACCAAAAACAUCAGGAUGCGGACACUAUUUUGCUCGACGAAAGCGGAAAUCCUUUACAUGCAAUGUCGUAGUUAGACAUGAAGAAAGACAUGAACUUCUGGGUAGCAUAUUUUCUAACGCCAAACGCGUGAGCCUUUCUAGCGAGGUCUAUAAAGUCAUGCUCACCCUUGGAAAAUUUCUAAAUCCCAUCUAAUCCCAAAAAGGUGAUUACGAUGACUUGGUAUAAGGGUUUGCUUAUAAAA
Long non-coding RNA from Xenia sp. Carnegie-2017, 298 nucleotides. RefSeq lists it as uncharacterized. The transcript is spliced from 2 exons. The record is from RefSeq and is a predicted model, not a curated record. Lineage: Eukaryota; Metazoa; Cnidaria; Anthozoa; Malacalcyonacea; Xeniidae.